UGGAGUGUUAUGGCCGCGGCAGGUGUUAAUUUUAUUCAUUUGUGCGUCGAAAUAAGCGCGUAAGGACAUUUUAAGACAAAGUGCGACACGCAGGAAUAUUUCCUUAAGAAGCUGAGCUGCUUAGAAUCCGUUUGGAAUCAAACUUAGGAGCAAAAGAUGAAGAAAAAAAGUCGCCGGCAUCCCCCUCGCGACGCGAGAGCGCAGCCCCUAUCAUCGGGCACAUCAACUCAGCGGCGGGACAGCCAAUAUUUCUUUCCUCUCACCAUCUCUGCCAAAUCUGCAGCCGCGGACUGAUUUUUGGAAAUUAAUUUCAGUGUGAUGAGGAGAGACUAUUUCUCAACCGAGAAAAUGCUGAAAAAAAUUCAUCGGAAUUUGCGUUAUGCCAUCUUGCAGUUAUUAAAGAUUUUGCAAAUCCUGUUCUGCAAGUGAACAAUGCCGACAAAUUAGGAAAGUUUGAUGAACUAUUGGACCGUACGUACGCGUGGAGCAGGAACGAAGGAAGAAAAUUUUAAGUUUGAUGUAAAAAUAAUUUCAAAGAUUGUGGGUAUUAUAUUACUAUUAAAAAAUAAAUUUUAAAAAGUAAACAUUGGUAUUAUUUAGUAACUAAAUAUGCAAAUCCUAAAAUCUGAGUGGCAUGCAGGCCA
Neocloeon triangulifer is the source of this 644-nucleotide long non-coding RNA. RefSeq lists it as uncharacterized. Lineage: Eukaryota; Metazoa; Arthropoda; Insecta; Ephemeroptera; Baetidae. The record is from RefSeq and is a predicted model, not a curated record. The transcript is spliced from 3 exons.